This 538-nucleotide ribosomal RNA is filed under the name uncultured bacterium. RNAcentral's name for it is "bacterial SSU rRNA". It matches the Rfam family "Bacterial small subunit ribosomal RNA", at positions 777 to 1313 of the family's 1533-position model. The record is from RNAcentral.
AAUAGAUACCCGGGUAGUCCACGCCGUAAACGUUGGGCGCUAGAUGUGGGGACCUUUCCACGGUUUCCGUGUCGUAGCUAACGCAUUAAGCGCCCCGCCUGGAGAGUACGGCCGCAAGGCUAAAACUCAAAGGAAUUGACGGGGGCCCGCACAAGCGGCGGAGCAUGCGGAUUAAUUCGAUGCAACGCGAAGAACCUUACCAAGGCUUGACAUACACGAGAACGGGCCAGAAAUGGUCAACUCUUUGGACACUCGUGAACAGGUGGUGCAUGGUUGUCGUCAGCUCGUGUCGUGAGAUGUUGGGUUAAGUCCCGCAACGAGCGCAACCCUCGUCGCAUGUUGCCAGCACGUUAUGGUGGGGACUCAUGUGAGACUGCCGGGGUCAACUCGGAGGAAGGUGGGGAUGACGUCAAAUCAUCAUGCCCCUUAUGUCUUGGGCUUCACGCAUGCUACAAUGGCCGGUACAAAGGGCUGCGAUGUCGUAAGGCGGAGCGAAUCCCAAAAAGCCGGUCUCAGUUCGGAUUGAGGUCUGCUAACG